Molecule: ribosomal RNA, 498 nt
Filed under: uncultured bacterium
Lineage: Bacteria
Description: partial 16S ribosomal RNA
Rfam family: Bacterial small subunit ribosomal RNA
Source: RNAcentral
GAUGAACGCUGGCGGCGUGCCUAAUACAUGCAAGUCGAGCGAACAGACGAGAGUGCUUGCACUCUCUGACGUUAGCGGCGGACGGGUGAGUAACACGUGGGUAACCUACCUAUAAGACUGGGAUAACUUCGGGAAACCGGAGCUAAUACCGGAUAAUAUUUAGCUUCGCAUGAAGCAAUAGUGAAAGACGGUUCUGCUGUCACUUAUAGAUGGACCCGCGGUGUAUUAGCUAGUUGGUGAGGUAACGGCUCACCAAGGCAACGAUACAUAGCCGACCUGAGAGGGUGAUCGGCCACACUGGGACUGAGACACGGCCCAGACUCCUACGGGAGGCAGCAGUAGGGAAUCUUCCGCAAUGGACGAAAGUCUGACGGAGCAAUGCCGCGUGAGUGAAGAAGGUUUUCGGAUCGUAAAACUCUGUUGUAAGGGAAGAACAAGUACGUUAGUAACUGAACGUACCUGGACGGUACCUUACCAGAAAGCCACGGCUAACUACGU